RNAcentral lists this ribosomal RNA (748 nucleotides) under uncultured Actinomycetales bacterium. RNAcentral's name for it is "bacterial SSU rRNA". It matches the Rfam family "Bacterial small subunit ribosomal RNA", at positions 25 to 762 of the family's 1533-position model. Lineage: Bacteria; Bacillati; Actinomycetota; Actinomycetes; Actinomycetales. The record is from RNAcentral.
CAGGACGAACGCUGGCGGCGUGCUUAACACAUGCAAGUCGAACGCGCCUGUCCUCCGGUUUUCCGGGGGGUGGGUGAGUGGCGAACGGGUGAGUAACACGUGAGUAACCUGCCCCCUUCUUCGGGAUAACGGUCUGAAAGGGCUGCUAAUACCGGGUAUUCACUGGUCUCCGCAUGGGGUCUGGUGGAAAGGUUGUUUUUCUGGUGGGGGAUGGGCUCGCGGCCUAUCAGCUUGUUGGUGGGGUGAUGGCCCACCAAGGACUUUGACGGGUAGCCGGCCUGAGAGGGUGACCGGUCACAUUGGGACUGAGAUACGGCCCAGACUCCUACGGGAGGCAGCAGUGGGGAAUAUUGCACAAUGGGCGCAAGCCUGAUGCAGCGACGCCGCGUGAGGGACGGAGGCCUUCGGGUUGUGAACCUCUUUCGCCCGUGGUCAAGCCGCGACGUGGGUCGUGGUGAGGGUAGUGGGUAAAGAAGCGCCGGCUAACUACGUGCCAGCAGCCGCGGUAAUACGUAGGGCGCGAGCGUUGUCCGGAAUUAUUGGGCGUAAAGGGCUUGUAGGCGGCUGGUCGCGUCUGCCGUGAAAUCCUCUGGCUCAACUGGGGGCGUGCGGUGGGUACGGGCUGGCUUGAGUGCGGUAGGGGAGGCUGGAACUCCUGGUGUAGCGGUGGAAUGCGCAGAUAUCAGGAAGAACACCGGUGGCGAAGGCGGGUCUCUGGGCCGUUACUGACGCUGAGGAGCGAAAGUAU